RNAcentral lists this ribosomal RNA (141 nucleotides) under uncultured eukaryote. RNAcentral's name for it is "partial 18S ribosomal RNA". It matches the Rfam family "Eukaryotic small subunit ribosomal RNA", at positions 1299 to 1458 of the family's 1831-position model. The record is from RNAcentral.
UGGUGGAGUGAUUUGUCUGGUUAAUUCCGUUAACGAACGAGACCUCGACCUGCUAAAUAGUUUGGCGAAUUCUCCGGGAUUGUGCACAACUUCUUAGAGGGACUAUCGGUGUGUAGCCGAUGGAAGUUCGAGGCAAUAACA